GUCCGGACUGCAGGAACCGUGCGAUCAGAAAUGCCAAAUCCAGCUGUGGGUGAAACACCCAGGAAAAGGGGUGGCUCUGUGUCCCUGUGUGCUCUGGGCUCUGCCAGCAGAAGGACCAGGGGAAUGAUGUCAGGUCCAUCCUCAGCAUCUCUGAAUUCCAACUUUGUGCCUCAAAAUGCCUGGAACCCCUCAAGUUUUAUAGCAGCAAAAUUACUACUGGGUGUAGGUGACCAGAAGCCUGGGCACAAAGUAUCUCAAUGCAACUGGGAAUUCAUCACCUCUCUCCCUUGGACAUGCAAAUUUUACUGGAACUCCUCAGCUAAGUAAACAAUUUUAAUAAAAUUACAUCCCUCUGUAUCCAUACCCCUUUCCAUAAAAAAAGUUUUGAGAAUGUUUUAUGUUUCAAUUAUAUUUUUCAUUUUACAAAAAUAU
Molecule: non-coding RNA, 432 nt
Organism: Sturnus vulgaris (Common starling)
Lineage: Eukaryota; Metazoa; Chordata; Aves; Passeriformes; Sturnidae
Source: RefSeq, a predicted model, not a curated record